GAGUGCCUGCACAGCAUCAGCUUCAGGCAGGCUAUAGGCCCAUGCUGAGGCUCUCUCCUUCACUGUACCUGUAUCACAGAUGAGGACAUGGAAGUACAGAAAGGCC
This is a long non-coding RNA of Sapajus apella (tufted capuchin), 106 nucleotides long. RefSeq lists it as uncharacterized. The transcript is spliced from 3 exons. Lineage: Eukaryota; Metazoa; Chordata; Mammalia; Primates; Cebidae. The record is from RefSeq and is a predicted model, not a curated record.